AUAUUUGCCGAAAUAUAUUUAAUAAUGUUUUUAUAAUACGAAUAUUGAAUUUAAAUAGUUUAAAAAACGCUCCUGCCGCUUUCACUGCUAAUCGUCCAGAAACGCCGAUGGAGCACCCUUCUUUUUCUUGGAUUUCGACUGUCCCGCCUUAGUUUUUGCUUCUGGCUUUUUUCCUGCCUUGACGGCUGCGUUCGGUGUGCAACGAACACGAGCAGAAGGUGUUUUGGUCUUCUUGCCCUUUCGUUGCUUGCUAUUCUUGCCCGGCAGCGGACCCUUUGCCUUCACACAACUUAGUGUCAGGCUGUACGUGUAGCUGGGCCGCCAUCAAAGUCCAUAAUUCACUUUCGCUGUAAUUUUGUUUGUUUUGAUUGGUAUAUUUGCCGAAAUAUAUUUAAUAAUGUUUUUAUAAUACGAAUAUUGAAUUUAAAUAGUUUAAAAAACGCUCCUGCCGCUUUCACUGCUAAUCGUCCAGAAACGCCGAUGUCUUUGCUUCUGGCUUUUUUCCUGCCUUGACGGCUGCGUUCGGUGUGCAACGAACACGAGCAGAAGGUGUUUUGGUCUUCUUGCCCUUUCGUUGCUUGCUAUUCUUGCCC
Molecule: long non-coding RNA, 593 nt
Organism: Drosophila obscura
Lineage: Eukaryota; Metazoa; Arthropoda; Insecta; Diptera; Drosophilidae
Exons: 5
Source: RefSeq, a predicted model, not a curated record